RNAcentral lists this ribosomal RNA (289 nucleotides) under uncultured Rhodothermaceae bacterium. Its description in RNAcentral is "partial 16S ribosomal RNA". Lineage: Bacteria; Pseudomonadati; Rhodothermota; Rhodothermia; Rhodothermales; Rhodothermaceae. The record is from RNAcentral.
CUACUGGGGUAUCUAAUCCUGUUUGCUCCCCACGCUUUCGUGCCUCAGCGUCAGUACCUGUCCAGUCACCCGCCUUCGCCUCUGGUAUUCCUCGUGAUAUCUACGCAUUUCACCGCUACACCACGAAUUCUAGUGACCCCUCCAGGACUCAAGACCUGCAGUCUCAAAGGCAAUUCCCCGGUUAGGCCGGGGGCUUUCACCUCUGACUUGCAGGCCCGCCUACACACCCUUUACACCCAGUGAUUCCGGACAACGCUUGGACCCUCCGUAUUACCGCGGCUGCUGGCAC